This 287-nucleotide unclassified non-coding RNA is filed under the name uncultured Peziza. RNAcentral describes it as "sequence contains 5.8S rRNA gene". Lineage: Eukaryota; Fungi; Ascomycota; Pezizomycetes; Pezizales; Pezizaceae. The record is from RNAcentral.
GAACGCACCUUGCGCCCUUUGGCUAUUCUGAAGGGCAUGCCUGUCUGAGCGUCAGCAGCCAAAAAAAUCCAAAUCUUUGUAGAUAAAGAUUUGGAUUUGGUUAAGAGAUGUAAUCUGUGUAAGAACCGGUUACUCUUUUGAAAUUUAAAGGCAGUAUUGAUCAAUCCAACUGUAAACGUGAUAAAACAUUUCGUUUUAUUGUUCGGAAUGAGCUUUUUGCUUGCCUAUAAACCCACUCAUCUUCAUGGGUGACCUCAGAUCAGGUAGGGAUACCCGCUGAACUUAAG